Long non-coding RNA from Syzygium oleosum, 759 nucleotides. RefSeq lists it as uncharacterized. Lineage: Eukaryota; Viridiplantae; Streptophyta; Magnoliopsida; Myrtales; Myrtaceae. The transcript is spliced from 4 exons. The record is from RefSeq and is a predicted model, not a curated record.
UUGGAUAUGACAAAAAGGAAAUCAAUAGAAUGGGUGUUGGAGGAAUAUUUCUUGGCAAAUAGCUCAGGGCCUCUUUCGUUAAAUUGUUAUGGAGCAGGUCAGUGGGCGCUAUUCCUUUUUGAAUGUCCCUGAAGCCGAGGAGGCUCUGGAGCGGUCGAGCUUCAGUGGUCACGUAGCGGAAUCGGACGAUCAGUCCGUUGAAUUAGACGUUUCCUUUUGAUGUUUAUGACUUUUUAGGUUAAUUGGCUAUACACCCUUUUGAUGUUUGUUCUCUUAACCCCGUGAUUCAAAAUCUGAAAUUGUAUACAUGUACGCAGCUCGAUGCGAUAUUGAUUGAUUGAUUGAUUGGUGUUUUUGACGUUGGGGGGACCACUGAUUGUGCUGUAUAGGCAUGUGAGUCGCAAGUUCAGCAAUCAAUAUAAGGCGACUAUCGAAGCUGAUUUCUUGACGAAGGAAGUUCAGUUUGAGGACAGGUUGUUCACAUUGCAGAAAAGGGAGAAGUGAUUAGUGAACAUUACAAGCUCCUUCCAGUUGACUUGCGUGACAUACCAAAGUUGGACGACAUUAUAUCAUUGGCUAAUAUUGAUCCAAGCUUGCCGACCUUUAUAAUUGCAGAAUGUGUCUUGAUAUACUUGGAUCUAGAUUCAAGCCCGGCUAUUGUUGGUUGGACUUCAAAAACAUUUUCAACAGCAGUUUUCUUCUUAUAUGAGCAGAUCCAUCCAGAUGAUGAUUUUGGGCUGCAAAUGAUCAGAAAUUUAG